Procambarus clarkii (red swamp crayfish) is the source of this 769-nucleotide non-coding RNA. The record is from RefSeq and is a predicted model, not a curated record. NCBI's taxonomy places the organism in Eukaryota, Metazoa, Arthropoda, Malacostraca, Decapoda, Cambaridae.
UCGUCUCUUGAAGGUGAGCUGUAUGGUGAGGAUCCUCCCCUCUUCCCCCCUUUGUUGCGUCUCCCCCCCCCCCCCAUCCUCAGGUUAACAGAAAAAUUAUAACAGGUUAACGGAAUAAUUCGUCCUGACCAUUGCACCUAAGAUUAUUACCGGUGGUUCAUAGUGGUACAGUUGUCAGCGCCCCGGAGGUCUUCACAAGGUGGUCACAAGCUUGACAAACGCGCCAUAACAAAGUUGCUGCUGAAAAUACUGGCGUGGGAUCUCUGGGACCCUCCACGUGGCCCCAGACGGCUCCCUGGUGGCGGUCUAAAGUCUGCUGAGCCAAACCAGUUGUCUGCACCAGUUUGUCGCCUCUGCCUUCCCAAGAGUUCAGGGAAAGUCUCUACAAUUCUCCAAACACCCUAACCUGUUCACAACUAAUUGCUUUACAGUCCCAUAUUACGUCCACAGUUCUCAAAGCGGCACCCUUGUGCUUCCAACCUUUAACUCAUUUUAAGUUUCCCAGCUUCCCUCGGCCUCUACCCCAGCCUCGACCACAUCCCCAGCUUCCGUUGGUCACUGCUAAAGUCUCUCGGCCUUCAAGGCCACAUCAAACUCGACACUUCAUCCUGUGGAAUACCUGUUAACGUGAUACAUGAAGAGAGCUGGGAAAGGCUUCUCAUGGUGCGUGAAUAAACUUUACAGCUUGGAUAGAGCAAAAUCUUACUGCUAGUGUUAGCAGAGGCUUCCAGCUAAUUAGCAUUAAACACAAGAAUAAGUUAGACUUCAU